Portunus trituberculatus (swimming crab) is the source of this 2468-nucleotide RNA transcript. It is a transcript of the gene named tetratricopeptide repeat protein 23-like, with no coding region annotated. NCBI's taxonomy places the organism in Eukaryota, Metazoa, Arthropoda, Malacostraca, Decapoda, Portunidae. The record is from RefSeq and is a predicted model, not a curated record. The transcript is spliced from 13 exons.
GAGGCUUCCAAACAGUGGCUGUGCUCACUACACUCCUCCACUCACUGUCUGCUGUUCACCCACACAGGCCAACACUGACUGACCUCCUGGGUGGCUGCACAAAUACCACUCAGGCUUUCAAGACCCUCAACCUCACUAGGACCUUUCUAUAGAAAACGAGUCAACUCCACCGCAUAUAGCUUGAACACCUCACCACUGCAUACCGCACCUUUGGGGCACUAGAAGCUGUGACACACAGCCUGCACGGCCCCAACAAACCACCAAGAAGACAUACAGCAGUGUUGACUGUUAAUCAUUAACAACGAUUUCUGCACUAAGAGCCCCAGGUAUUAUAGGAAUCUCUUUUAACCCUUGCUCUGAAGUCAGUGAUGGAAAGCCUCAGUGACUCUGAUCCUGAUUUUUGGGAACUGGGAGGCAAGGGAGAAGGCAGUUCAAGCCAAGGGAGAAGAGGACACCACCGGAGAAGCAAAGGGUUCCGGACCUUCCCUCCAAGUGAGCAAGAGCAUGACAGAGUAGUUGGAGGGAGCUCUGAUGCCAUGGAGGAUCCCAAGAUGAUCCAAGAUUAUGACAGCAAGACAAAAAGUUUUGACAGUGACCAUAUCAGUAAUGAUGACAGUGAUGAUGAUCAUGAAAUAGAUGAGAGUAAUGAUGAGGCUAAGAAUGAGAACGAUAAAGAAGAGGAAAAGGUUGACUCCACUGAUGAUGAACAUUGUGGCAAUAAUUGGGAAAGAGAGGAGGGGAGUGGUGGCAACAGUAGUAGCAACAGCAAAUCCAGUAAGCGUACAAGUAUCCUCACAGGGUCAGACCUUCCACAAGACUCACCUAAAGAUGAUACCCUCAGCAAAGAUUCCUCAAAGAGCUCCAAAGGAUCUACCAAUCCAUCUCAGUGGGUGGUAGAACAGUAUCUCCUUACACCACAGCAGAAGCUCAAGCUAGCUCUGUAUGAUGGAAGGAAACUUUUUGCAGCAGGAGAAGGUGACGGAGCUGUGAGGGAGUUUGUGCGAGCCAGGGCGCUGGCACGAGUGGUACAUGGGGACCAACAUUGGCGUUACUGCAGGUGCAAGGUGUUCCUGGCAAAGAGCUACCUCUAUCUCAAGGAAUAUGCACUGCAGGCAGAGGCACAGGCUAAAGAGGCUCUGGAAAUUCUCAGGACUCAUCUCUCAACACAUCUGGCACCCACAAAGAAACCUCAGGUGCAUCACACCCUUCUGUGGGGUUAUCUAGUGUGUGGAGAGGCUCGCAUCCGCCUAGGUCAAUUAGCUGGGGCCCAGGAGUCUCUGGCUCGUGCUCUCUACCACACUCGCAUAUAUGCCAAAAUGGUGAUGCGGUGGAAGAAACAGCUCAACCCUUCCCUCACUAUAGAUCUUCCUCUAGAUUUACAAGUGAAAGUUCUCUGUGCACAGGCAGCUCUCUAUACUAAACAAAAGAAACUCACCAAGGCUAAGGAGAAACUUCAAUCAAGUAUUAGCCUAAUAGAGAAAAAAGGGUCAGGUCCAGAAGACCCCUGCUUAGUGACUCCCCUCCAGCAACUCGGCCAGCUGCUUCUUGAACACCCACAGACAACCCAGGACAACCAGACUGGCCUUAACCUUCUAACUCGUGUGGUGCACAUCACCCAAGUGAGCAAUCGUCCUGGCAGUGUAGCAGAGUGUGAGGCACGUGGCCUUUUGUUAGAACAUCGGCUCCAUCUGCGCUGCAUAGAAACUCAAGAAGCCUUAAGGGAAUUGCACAAACUUGGCCUCCUCUUCUCUCGCCUACAUGGAGAGCACAGCCCUCGCACAGCUGCAAUUCAUAACAUGACUGUUCAGGUACUGGUGCAGGAGGAAAAUUAUCCAGAAGCCAUAAAGCACCUCAUGUCCAAUCUCAAGCACUGUAAGGAGGUUCAUGGAGACUUCACCCCACAGGUCUGUGGAGUGCUGAGGCAGCUAUCCAGGGUGCAUGCUCUUGCUGGAGACCUGGGUAGGGCAGCACUGGCUCUGGACCAAUGCCUACAAGCAGAGACCCUCCUCUAUGGCACUUCUUCUCGUCGUGCUCAAGCUUCUCGCCUAAGGCUACAAGAAAUGAUACAGUUAAAAAACUUCCUCUGUCAUUGAGAAAGCGGAUGUGCAGAAGACACCCAGAUCUGCAAAACAAACCACGCUUCCACAAUUUAUAGGAUAUGGAAGCUGGACAAUGGGAUGACAGGACAGCGAUGGCCACUCCUCGAUAUGCGGGUCCACCAGGCACCACCGCCUCCUAUGAUGAACCUGUCGCCCCAGCACUGACUGUCACUGUCCCUGUGAGGGACUGUGGCAUACAGACCUGGGGCACUGAUAGAUCUAUUGUUUGAAUGGGGGUGUUGAAAAAUUUCACCAAGGCUUGUCAACAUAAUCUCAAAACUGGCUCAUGCUACAUUUCUUUUUCCUGGAGCCCUGUGUUUCCCAAAUUACCAUAGAUAUUGUAUUGUGUUCAAUAUAUUCGUAAGAUGA